RNAcentral lists this non-coding RNA (104 nucleotides) under Desulfobulbaceae bacterium. RNAcentral's name for it is "TPP sequence". It matches the Rfam family "TPP riboswitch aptamer (THI element)". Rfam says of the family: Vitamin B(1) in its active form thiamin pyrophosphate (TPP) is an essential coenzyme that is synthesised by coupling of pyrimidine and thiazole moieties in bacteria. The record is from RNAcentral. Lineage: Bacteria; Pseudomonadati; Thermodesulfobacteriota; Desulfobulbia; Desulfobulbales; Desulfobulbaceae.
UAAAAAGCCUGGGGGAGUCCACGGACUGAGAGUUCCGCAAUGCGGAGCGACCCUUUGAACCUGAUCCGGCUGAUACCGGCGUAGGGAACGGACCAAUUUGAGCA